AACGAACGCUGGCGGCAUGCCUAGCACAUGCAAGUCGAACGAGACCUUCGGGUCUAGUGGCGCACGGGUGCGUAACGCGUGGGAACCUGCCCUUAGGUUCGGAAUAACUCCCCGAAAGGGGUGCUAAUACCGGAUAAUGUCUUCGGACCAAAGAUUUAUCGCCUUUGGAUGGGCCCGCGUUGGAUUAGCUAGUUGGUAGGGUAAAAGCCUACCAAGGCGACGAUCCAUAGCUGGUCUGAGAGGAUGAUCAGCCACACUGGGACUGAGACACGGCCCAGACUCCUACGAGAGGCAGCAGUGGGGAAUAUUGGACAAUGGGCGAAAGCCUGAUCCAGCAAUGCCGCGUGAGUGAUGAAGGCCUUAGGGUUGUAAAGCUCUUUUACCCGGGAUGAUAAUGACAGUACCGGGAGAAUAAGCUCCGGCUAACUCCGUG
This 433-nucleotide ribosomal RNA is filed under the name uncultured bacterium. Its description in RNAcentral is "partial 16S ribosomal RNA". It matches the Rfam family "Bacterial small subunit ribosomal RNA", at positions 29 to 507 of the family's 1533-position model. The record is from RNAcentral.